GCCGCCCAACAUCUAACCCAAACCAAUUUCUCCCCUCCCCCACACCAUUAAAUCAUUCUUAAUCUAAAGUAAAUGCGAUUGAAAAAGAGCUUGGAGUAAUAAAAAUAGUACCGCAAGGGAAAGAUGAAAUAGAAGUUAAAUAAAUAUUUAAGCCCAAAACAGCAAAGAUUACGACUUGUACCUUUUGCAUCAUGGUCUAACUAGUCCAACUAGGCAAAAAGAUUUUUAGUCUAACUCCCCGAAACUAAGUGAGCUACUCCGAGGUAACUUUAGAGUAAACCCGUCUCUGUAGCAAAAGAGUGGGACAACCCCCGAGUAGAGGUGAUAUACCUAUCGAACUUAGUGAUAGCUGGUUACUCAAGAAAAGAAUAUUAGUUCAAUUUUAAGAGGAUUCUAUCAGCCCAAUUUUAUUAAGCUCACCCCACCUCUUAAAACCUAUUCAAUAAGGGUACAGCCUUAUUGAAAAAGGAUACAACCUAGGAAUCAGGUUAAUGAUUUUGUUAAUACAGAACAAGUUGGCUUAAAAGCAGUCACCUUUUGAAUAGCGUCAUAGCUUUAUCUACAAUAUACCCUAAUACCAACCCCCCCACAGAACCCGACUUUGAUACUGAGUCAUUCUAUACCCCUAUAGCAGUGUUUAUGUUAGAACUAGUAACACAGAAUUUUCUUCUCUCAAUGUAAGUGUAAAUCAGAUUGAAUAAGUCACUGAUAAUUACCCAGCAAUGAAGCUAUUGUAGUAACGCCCCAAGAAAACCCUACAACCACUACCCCAUACAUCUGUUAACCUAACACAAGAACAUUAGAGAAAGAUUUAAAGACAAAGAAGGAACUCGGCAAAUCUAAGUCCCGCCUGUUUACCAAAAACAUCGCCUUUUGAAUAUUAUUUAAGGUAUUGCCUGCCCAGUGACCAUGUGUUCAACGGCCGCGGUAUUCUGACCGCGCGAAGGUAGCGUAAUCACUUGUUUUUUAAAUAAAGACUAGUAUGAAUGGCCGCACGAGGACUUAACUGUCUCCUUUGUCCAAUCAGUGAAACUGAUCUCCUCGUGCAGAAGCGAGGAUGACCCCAUUAGACGAGAAGACCCUAUGGAGCUUUAAACUUCAAUAUCAAUUAUUUUACUCAACCCCUCUUCGGAACUAAAAAUUAACCUAAUACACUUGAUAUAAGUUUUAGGUUGGGGCGACCAUGGAGAAAAAAAAAUCCUCCCUGAUGAUUCUAACCAAGAGCAACAGCUCUAAAUAUUAAGACACUUAACUCAUAUUGACCCACUUUGUGAUCAACGAACCAAGUUACCCUAGGGAUAACAGCGCAAUCCACUUCAAGAGUCCCUAUCGACAAGUGGGUUUACGACCUCGAUGUUGGAUCAGGGCAUCCAAG
This is a ribosomal RNA of 1375 nucleotides. It matches the Rfam family "Bacterial large subunit ribosomal RNA", at positions 391 to 2550 of the family's 2925-position model.